Molecule: transfer RNA, 72 nt
Filed under: Streptococcus equinus
Lineage: Bacteria; Bacillati; Bacillota; Bacilli; Lactobacillales; Streptococcaceae
Also listed under: 1 other name
Description: tRNA_Lys_TTT
Rfam family: tRNA
About the family: Transfer RNA (tRNA) molecules are approximately 80 nucleotides in length. Their secondary structure includes four short double-helical elements and three loops (D, anti-codon, and T loops). Further hydrogen bonds mediate the characteristic L-shaped molecular structure. tRNAs have two regions of fundamental functional importance: the anti-codon, which is responsible for specific mRNA codon recognition, and the 3' end, to which the tRNAs corresponding amino acid is attached (by aminoacyl-tRNA synthetases). tRNAs cope with the degeneracy of the genetic code in two manners: having more than one tRNA (with a specific anti-codon) for a particular amino acid; and 'wobble' base-pairing, i.e. permitting non-standard base-pairing at the 3rd anti-codon position.
Source: RNAcentral
GGGAACAUAGCAAAGGGGUGAAUGCGACAGACUUUUAAUCUGUAGGCGUAGGUUCGAAUCCUACUUUCCCUG